This 206-nucleotide ribosomal RNA is filed under the name uncultured bacterium. RNAcentral's name for it is "partial 16S ribosomal RNA". It matches the Rfam family "Bacterial small subunit ribosomal RNA", at positions 568 to 774 of the family's 1533-position model. The record is from RNAcentral.
CUCGUAGGCGGUCUGUUACGUCGGCUGUGAAAACCUGGGGCUCAACCCCGGGCCUGCAACCGAUACGGGCAGACUAGAAUUCGGUAGGGGAGACUGGAAUUCCUGGUGUAGCGGUGGAAUGCGCAGAUAUCAGGAGGAACACCGGUGGCGAAGGCGGGUCUCUGGGCCGACAUUGACGCUGAGGAGCGAAAGCGUGGGAGCGAACA